Long non-coding RNA from Panicum virgatum (switchgrass), 526 nucleotides. RefSeq lists it as uncharacterized. The transcript has 2 exons. The record is from RefSeq and is a predicted model, not a curated record. NCBI's taxonomy places the organism in Eukaryota, Viridiplantae, Streptophyta, Magnoliopsida, Poales, Poaceae.
AAUCAGAUAGUUCAGUCCACUGUAUGCUUCUAUGACACAUACAUGCAGUAGCUGCACACUCUGAACACUGAAUAGCCACUGCUCCCUCGAGUUGCCGGAGUGGCCGUCGAGGCUUGCCUCAAGUCUGACUACAUCGAGCUCCCGCCACAUGCUAGCACGCAAGUGCAGCAGCGGCCAAUCAAUCAUCAGUGAUAUUAAAAGGCAUUGGCGUGGCUGUGCGGAGGACUCAGGUUCUUUCCUACUCUCGGUGUGGCCGACGCCUUGAACCACAAGGCCUCCAAGAUCCCAUAUGUAAGUGAGUGAUGCAACAACUGGGAAACAUGCGAAUGCAUUGAGUUAAAUUUUGUUUGAGUUGGACACUUAUGUGACUAAUAGCCAUCAUAGCGGAUCUUGUUUGAUAUAUGAAUUAUGCCUUCUUAUUUCAGUAAGAUCGGUGAUGAAAAUUGUUUUAUUUUUACUGAUAUUUUGGAUAUAAAUGGAUUCAAUCUUCGAUCCAAUAUUAAAUACUUGUAACUCUUCAGGUUUA